This 2545-nucleotide unclassified non-coding RNA is filed under the name Leishmania donovani. RNAcentral's name for it is "gene:LdHU3.30.0280(CDS-product:Rubisco_LSMT_subst rate-binding_putative)". Lineage: Eukaryota; Euglenozoa; Kinetoplastea; Trypanosomatida; Trypanosomatidae. The record is from RNAcentral.
CUCUCUGGCGCGAUGUCUACCUCCGCACCGCUCACCACUGCCGUUCAAUGGUUUGCAGCGCAGCUGAACAACUCUGACAACGCCGAAGUAAAGCGCCGCUAUCUACGAUGGCAUGCCGAAGACACGGGCGUGCCCUACAGCGAUGAAGACCCGCUCUUUGUUCAGGCAGUUCUCGCCAGUCGCACGGGCUGGACGUUGCCGGAGCUGCUGUGGCGAGCGCGUCUCGUUGCUCUGGACGGGCGCACUCUGUGGGAGUGCUUGGAUGCGCGCAUGAUUGCAGGUCGCGUGCGCGAUGUGGUCGAUCCGUGGAACGAGCAGCUCAGCGUGAAGCUGGCUUGGCACUUUAUGGAGGAGCAACAACGUGGAGAGUUACCGCCCGCGUCUUCAUUGAACGCGCUUCGCGCGGCACUCGAUGAGUACGCAACGGCUACGAUCAAGCCACAGGGCAGCCUGUCCGUGACGGAGUCCAGCGCGGCCCGCUCCGCCCUUAGAGAUGCCGACCACGGCCGAUGCGCCACCCUGACUGAUGCGUGGUCGGACAAGGUCGCCUUUAUCCCGAUGGAGGCAGGCAACGAUUACAGCGAGGGGUCUCUGCGCUGCGCCGCCCCCGUCCCCAGCCGCGGCACGCUGCUUCAAGUGCCUCGCUCUGAGAUGUUCUUUAUCGGUUCUCUGCUCCAGUACUGCUCCUUGGGCCGCGCCAUCGCUGCCGAGCCGUCUCUGCGCGGCCUCCUGGCAAACGAGGAGGCCAUGCUCGUUCUCUGCCUCGUCUACGAGCGUUUUGUUGAGGGCGUGGAGCGCUCACACUGGAGGCGGCUGCUUACACAUUGCCCGGGGCGGUACCCCACCAUACCCAUCGCUUGGGAGCUGCGCGAUCUGGCAGAACUCGAUGGACUCGACAUGGUCGACGACGUCCUCGCCAAGCGCAGUCAGAUGCAGGCUUUUGUCGAUCAGCUUCAGAACUCUCUCCUUCCGCUCUUCCACCGCGCGCUCUCGAAGCUGUACGGUGCGUCGGCAGCAGCCCCGUCGCUGGCUGACAUGUCGGCGGCCUUCGUCUGGGAGCACCUUGUGUGGGCCCAGUCGACCUUCGACUCGCGCGCCUUCAACCUUAACGUGGACGGCGCCGUCGUCAUGGCACUGGUGCCCUUGGCAGACAUGGUGAAUCACGCCAACCACACCGACGUGCUUGUUCGCAAGGUGGAGCCGAACGGGGGCCCUUUUACUAUGCAGGUAGGCGCUGCGUUGACGGCGGCGGAUGUGGGGCGCGAGCUGUGGAUGAGCUACGGCCCACUGCAGAACUGGGAGCUGCUUCAGCACUACGGCUUUCUGCUGGGGCCCGACAACGUGCACGACAAGCUGCCCUUUCCACUCGCCGUUCCCGCAGGGCCCAAUGAGCCGCAGGGCGAGAGCGACGCCACAGACACGUCAGCACCGCUUUCGCGUGAGGGGGGCACCGAGAGCAGCUGGGAUGCGCGGCGCCUGGCGUUGAUGCGUCGCUACGCGUUGUGCUUGCCGGGUCGCUGCUGGAUUCCACACGACGGCGUGCCACCCGCUGCUUUGCUGGCGCUUCUCCGCGUACAGCUCGCACAGGCAGACGAGUUCGAUAUGAUGGAGGGUCGCCGCUACGGCCCUUUUGAACCACUGUCGCCGGUGACGGAGGCCGCCGUCGUGUCGGUGGUGAAGAGCACCGUGCAGUGCGUCAUGGAGUCUUUUCCCACAACGCUUGCGGAGGACGAGGAGACUCUGGCGGAGGUGCAUGGUGACGAACCCACGAAAAACCACAUGCUAUGCUUGCAGCUUCGUGUAGGCCUCAAGCGCAUUGCCAGCCGGUGUCUGGAGUGGUGCGCGCGCCACUCGUAAGUCAUGUGCCAGCGCGCACGCCCCCCCCCCCCCCCCCCCCCCCAACCCACACACCCACACACAAACACCGUCGACACCUCACGUAGCGCCUGCGCUCCCUUUGUGUUUUCGGGGAAUGGGCAGGGUGGCGAGGCAACGGUUGGGUGGGUGGGGCCUUGACAGGAGGGGCAGGGCUGCCCCUCAGCGAACACCACUGCACUGGUGCUCCCCCUCCCUCCUCUGACACACGCUCGAAAUCUUUACACCCCACCUCACUUUGGCGCCCGCAGACGUCUUCGUUGAGCGCACAGCCCUUACCGAACGAAAAAGGCGAGGCGGAAUGCGCAGAGCUGCGAGGGGGUGGCUCCAGCGACCGUCACGGCGUCGGCGAUGGAGCAGGGAUGACACUCACCGUACCGCACCACCACCACCCCCUCCUGCUCCUCGACUUGUGGUGCAUACAUUCCCUCUUAGCUGAUGGCACACCUCAAGGGUGAGGGCGUUGUAGUCUCCCCUCUGUCGCAGUGUAUGGGUCGGUGGUGGGCGACUCUCUCCCACCCACUUCGCACACGACGCCCACAUCGCUGAGCCGCUUCCUGAAGCGGCAGACAAUUUCUCGCUUAUCCCCUUUUUUGCCGUUCCACCGUUGCCGCAUCGCCUCCUCUUUCUCUCUCGCUUGCUCCAUCGUUGCGCGUGGGCUCCCCUCGAG